RNAcentral lists this ribosomal RNA (253 nucleotides) under uncultured bacterium. RNAcentral describes it as "partial 16S ribosomal RNA". It matches the Rfam family "Bacterial small subunit ribosomal RNA", at positions 524 to 776 of the family's 1533-position model. The record is from RNAcentral.
UACGUAGGGUGCAAGCGUUGUCCGGCAUUAUUGGGCGUAAAGAGCUCGUAGGCGGUCUGUCGCGUCGGAUGUGAAAAUCCAGGGCUCAACCCUGGACCUGCAUUCGAUACGGGCAGACUAGAGUUCGGUAGGGGAGACUGGAAUUCCUGGUGUAGCGGUGAAAUGCGCAGAUAUCAGGAGGAACACCGGUGGCGAAGGCGGGUCUCUGGGCCGAUACUGACGCUGAGGAGCGAAAGCGUGGGGAGCGAACAGG